Molecule: ribosomal RNA, 402 nt
Filed under: Verrucomicrobiota bacterium
Lineage: Bacteria; Pseudomonadati; Verrucomicrobiota
Description: Verrucomicrobia bacterium partial 16S ribosomal RNA
Rfam family: Bacterial small subunit ribosomal RNA
Source: RNAcentral
UGGGGAAUUUUGCACAAUGGGGGAAACCCUGAUGCAGCGACGCCGCGUGAUUUAGAAGGCCUUCGGGUUGUAAAAAUCUUUUUUAUGGGAUGAAAAUGACAGUACCAUAAGAAUAAGGUCCGGCUAAAUACGUGCCAGCAGCCGCGGUAAUACGUAUGGACCGAGCGUUGUCCGGAAUCAUUGGGCGUAAAGGGUACGUAGGCGGCCCAGUAAGUUAGAAGUGAAAUAAUAUAGCUCAACUAUAUAAAGCUUUUAAAACUGCUAGGCUUGAGAGAUGGAAGGGAAAGUGGAAUUCCUAGUGUAGCGGUGAAAUGCGCAGAUAUUAGGAGGAAUACCGGUGGCGAAGGCGACUUUCUGGACUUUUACUGACGCUCAGGUACGAAAGCGUGGGGAGCAAACAGG